GAUGAACGCUGGCGGCGUGCUUAACACAUGCAAGUCGAACGAUGAAGCCCAGCUUGCUGGGUGGAUUAGUGGCGAACGGGUGAGUAACACGUGAGUAACCUGCUCUUGACUCUGGGAUAAGCCUGGGAAACUGGGUCUAAUACUGGAUAUGACUUCUCAUCGCAUGGUGGGGGGUGGAAAGAUUUAUUGGUCUUGGAUGGACUCGCGGCCUAUCAGCUUGUUGGUGAGGUAAUGGCUCACCAAGGCGACGACGGGUAGCCGGCCUGAGAGGGUGACCGGCCACACUGGGACUGAGACACGGCCCAGACUCCUACGGGAGGCAGCAGUGGGGAAUAUUGCACAAUGGGCGCAAGCCUGAUGCAGCGACGCCGCGUGAGGGAUGACGGCCUUCGGGUUGUAAACCUCUUUCAGUAGGGAAGAAGCGAGAGUGACGGUACCUGCAGAAGAAGCGCCGGCUAACUACGUG
Molecule: ribosomal RNA, 466 nt
Filed under: uncultured bacterium
Lineage: Bacteria
Description: partial 16S ribosomal RNA
Rfam family: Bacterial small subunit ribosomal RNA
Source: RNAcentral